GAUGAACGCUAGCGGCAGGCUUAACACAUGCAAGUCGAGGGGCAGCGUGAGGGUUAGCAAUAACCCUUGACGGCGACCGGCGCAAGGGUGCGUAACGCGUGAGCAACUUGCCCUUAUCAGGGGGAUAACCGGUGGAAACGCCGACUAAUACCCCAUGGCAUUGAGUUGAGGCAUCUCUACUCAAUUAAAGAAUUUCGGAUAAGGAUAGGCUCGCGUGACAUUAGCUAGACGGCGGGGUAACGGCCACCGUGGCGAUGAUGCAUAGCCGGCCUGAGAGGGUGAACGGCCACAUUGGGACUGAGACACGGCCCAGACUCCUACGGGAGGCAGCAGUGGGGGAUAUUGCGCAAUGGGGGAAACCCUGACGCAGCAACGCCGCGUGAAGGAAGAAGGCCUUCGGGUUGUAAACUUCUGUCUUUAGGGUAAGAAGAAAGUAGACGGUACCUAAGGAGGAAGCACGGCUAACUACGUAG
RNAcentral lists this ribosomal RNA (473 nucleotides) under uncultured bacterium. Its description in RNAcentral is "bacterial SSU rRNA". It matches the Rfam family "Bacterial small subunit ribosomal RNA", at positions 28 to 508 of the family's 1533-position model. The record is from RNAcentral.